UACGGGGGGAGCAAGCGUUGUUCGGAUUUACUGGGCGUAAAGGGCGCGUAGGCGGCCACCGCAAGUCGACUGUGAAAUCUCCGGGCUUAACCCGGAAAGGUCAGCCGAUACUGCGGGGCUAGAGUGCAGAAGGGGCAACUGGAAUUCUCGGUGUAGCGGUGAAAUGCGUAGAUAUCGAGAGGAACACCUGCGGCGAAGGCGGGUUGCUGGGCUGACACUGACGCUGAUGUGCGAAAGCGUGGGGAGCAAACAGG
RNAcentral lists this ribosomal RNA (254 nucleotides) under uncultured bacterium. RNAcentral's name for it is "partial 16S ribosomal RNA". It matches the Rfam family "Bacterial small subunit ribosomal RNA", at positions 524 to 776 of the family's 1533-position model. The record is from RNAcentral.